CGCGGGAUGGAGCAGUUCGGUAGCUCGUCGGGCUCAUAACCCGGAGGUCGUCGGUUCAAAUCCGGCUCCCGCAACCA
This 77-nucleotide transfer RNA is filed under the name Gallicola sp. Its description in RNAcentral is "tRNA-Met". It matches the Rfam family "tRNA". Rfam says of the family: Transfer RNA (tRNA) molecules are approximately 80 nucleotides in length. Their secondary structure includes four short double-helical elements and three loops (D, anti-codon, and T loops). The record is from RNAcentral. Lineage: Bacteria; Bacillati; Bacillota; Tissierellia; Tissierellales; Peptoniphilaceae. RNAcentral also lists the same sequence under 1 other name.